ACGAACAAUAGCUCAGACACUUCGAGUUGACGUGUUGCAUAGUUUUAUAUUCUCGUCGGUAUAUUAUAACAUGUGGUUCAUUUCUGCAGAGCAAUGUGAGAGGGAUAAGGCUCGAGUCCUUGUUCACUGCAUGUCAGGAAAAAAUAGGUUGAUUUUUAUUUUAUUGCUCUAUUCUUUUGUUAUCCAAGCAAUGCACACUAAAACAAACAUGAGCAUGUUGAAGCAGUGUUUUCCUCUUUCUCUUUUAUCUUAUAUUAUACAAGAAAGAAAAUUCAAAUUUGAAAGCUGAAAAUAGGAUUUUGUAUAAAAACUACGGUGGAAGAACCUAGUUGGACCUCACCCCUGAAUCUUUCUCUAUAAUAUGCCUUACACCCAGGUGUGUUUUUGCAAAUAGGAGAUUACCUGCUUUGUAUGUGUGUAAUACCUCCUUUUUCUUUUAUUGGGGAGGGGGGAUCGACUAACAUUGAGGCAAAAAUGCUCAGGUGUGUUUACACUUAGUUAAAUGGGACAAAUUGCUAGUGAGGAUGAUUAUAUUCUUUCUAACAGGUCACCAGCUAUUGUAGUAGCUUUCUUGAUGAAAUCUAAAAAGAACGGAGACCAUCUGUUGAUAUAAGUCAAGGUAUUUACUAACUUUGACUUAGAUUACCUAAUAUUUAUGGAAGCCAUUUUAUGUUGUUACCUUAGCUGAUUGAAUUCAUUCGCUUAAUUUAAAACUUAAGAAUGCCACUUUGUAUUAUUUGGAAGAGGAGUCAGGUCUAGUGCUGCUGCCAUCACUAUAAGGUCAGUAUGAUUGAAAUUUAGUUUAGAUAUUAUACACUUUUAAGGCCGCUGUCCGGGGAUAUAGGAAAUUCGCACUUCAGAACUUGCGUACAUGAUUGCAUGACUCAAGCUAAACCUUAGGUCUAGUAGACAUAAUAGUUUGUGAUGUUUAUUAAUAUGUGAGUUUCACUUUAACAUUCUCUAACAGAAGAACAACUUAAAAGUUAAAGAUUUUCACUUUAAUUUAGCAAUAUUUCAAUUUCUGCUAAUUUAUAAUUACUUACCUCGCUAUAAUUUUACAAUUUUCAGUCUGGAUUGAGAUCAAAUACAACACAGUCAGGUCAGACAUCAACUGCAAACUCUUCAGUGAAGUUGAAAUCACCAAAUAGGAAACGCCAAACUGGUGGAGAUCCUGUAAGCACACAAGAAUCAGUUGCAAAUUAGAAGCAAGCGAAGAGCUUUGGUAUUUUGUUAGUUUGAUAUUGGAUAUUUGAUUUGGUUGGUAUUAGUACAAAGUUUGUGUUGGCAUAGCUACUGUUUUGUUAGUUUGAUAUUGGAUAUUGGAUAUUUUAGUGUUGGUUGAUAUUGAUAUAGGCACUUUGUUAUUGUUGAGUUCUUUUUGCUUGUGCAAAUGCUGGAUGGGUUGAUAAAGGCCUUCAAUAUUUCCACUCAAUAAAAGACAAACAAGGAUUAAUCCAUACUGCUGAUCAUUGUAUUUGUAUAAUUGACUUAUUA
RNAcentral lists this long non-coding RNA (1494 nucleotides) under Gossypium barbadense (sea-island cotton). Its description in RNAcentral is "long non-coding RNA (GBAR_LNC012326)". Lineage: Eukaryota; Viridiplantae; Streptophyta; Magnoliopsida; Malvales; Malvaceae. The record is from RNAcentral.